Molecule: non-coding RNA, 99 nt
Organism: Canis lupus familiaris (dog)
Lineage: Eukaryota; Metazoa; Chordata; Mammalia; Carnivora; Canidae
Source: Rfam
UGGAGGAACAACCACGGUGGCAGCUCUGGAGCCCUGGAUUCAGCCCCCGCAGGAACUCCGGAGCUCUCCGUCUGCAGGGCCUGGAGGCUCCGGGGCCGG